UGGCGAUGAUGACAAACUUUGAGUAGUUGAAUUUCGGUGAUUGUUUUAUACGCUAUUCUGAGCUAACU
Molecule: small nucleolar RNA, 68 nt
Organism: Vombatus ursinus (common wombat)
Lineage: Eukaryota; Metazoa; Chordata; Mammalia; Diprotodontia; Vombatidae
Source: Ensembl